AGUCUAUUCACAAUUGUGGACAGGACAAUGUGGUGUUCAGGUGUGUACCUGGGAACGCUUGCCUACUCGAAGUCCAUCUCCGAUUAUGGCUUGGACUAUGCCCACAGCGGGUGAAAGGCCCGUGCGGGUAGGCUUGUGAUUGUUAAAGCGUUCCUUAGAUGUGCAUGCUUUCGAGUCGGAUUGCUUGAGAAUGCAGUCCAAAGUGGGUGGUAAACUCCAUCCAAGGCUAAAUACUGGCACGAGUCCGAUAGUAGACAAGUACCGUGAGGGAAAGUUGAAAAGUACUCUGAAGAGAGAGUAAAUAGCACGUGAAGCCGCUUGCAGGGAAGCUGGUGGAGUCAAGCUUCUUGUCUGGAGAAUUGUCAUCAGAGGAAUGUUGUCUCGGAACGUGGAGCUGGUGAACCUGGAAACGGUUUGGUGCACCCAAAUGCAUUUCAAGUCAUUCCGGGAAGAGUGAUUGUACUGGCUCCUAUCUUCCACCUCUGGUGCUUUAUUCUCCAUGACAUACAUCACGGUCAAUAGUGGAUAGAACACGUACUGCAUGAGUGCUUAACCGUGCUUUGGUGGAUUUAACCGUCUGCUGGGCAUGGAAUGGCAGAAGGCAUGUGUAGGCCUCGGCUUAUACUAUGCGUAUUGUGGUUUCGACCUGCUAGUGCUCAUGUUUAGUAUCGGCC
RNAcentral lists this ribosomal RNA (674 nucleotides) under Dactylogyrus achmerowi. Its description in RNAcentral is "LSU rRNA". It matches the Rfam family "Eukaryotic large subunit ribosomal RNA", at positions 118 to 630 of the family's 3401-position model. Lineage: Eukaryota; Metazoa; Platyhelminthes; Monogenea; Dactylogyridea; Dactylogyridae. The record is from RNAcentral.